Molecule: long non-coding RNA, 182 nt
Organism: Haliotis rubra (blacklip abalone)
Lineage: Eukaryota; Metazoa; Mollusca; Gastropoda; Lepetellida; Haliotidae
Exons: 2
Source: RefSeq, a predicted model, not a curated record
CUCAGCCCUAACCCUAACCCUUUGAAAUAAUCCUAAUAAAUAGAAUGCAUUGACCGAACCGGCACAAACAUGACUGACGUGUCCAGUGUAAUGCAUUAUAACCGCUUCGAAAAAUAAAAUACCAAUAAAAAAACUUUUCUUUGUAAUGGUGCAAAUUACUGAAUGAAAAAAAUAUAUAUGUA